AUUGAACGCUGGCGGCAGGCCUAACACAUGCAAGUCGAACGGCAGCACAGAAGAGCUUGCUCUUUGGGUGGCGAGUGGCGGACGGGUGAGUAAUGUCUGGGAAACUGCCCGAUGGAGGGGGAUAACUACUGGAAACGGCAGCUAAUACCGCAUAACGUCGCGAGACCAAAGUGGGGGACCUUCGGGCCUCACACCAUCGGAUGUGCCCAGAUGGGAUUAGCUAGGAGGUGGGGUGAUGGCUCACCUAGGCGACGAUCCCUAGCUGGUCUGAGAGGAUGACCAGCCACACUGGAACUGAGACACGGUCCAGGCUCCGGCGGGAGGCAGCGGUGGGGAAUAUGGCACAAGGGGCGCAAGCCGGAUGCAGCCAUGCCGCGUGUAUGAAGGAGGCCUUCGGGUUGUAAAGUACUUUCGGCGGGGAGGAAGGCGGUGAGGUUAAUAACCUCGCAGAUUGACGUUACCCGCAGAAGAAGCACCGGCUAACUCCGUGCCAGCCGCCGCCGUAA
This 506-nucleotide ribosomal RNA is filed under the name uncultured bacterium. RNAcentral describes it as "partial 16S ribosomal RNA". It matches the Rfam family "Bacterial small subunit ribosomal RNA", at positions 29 to 523 of the family's 1533-position model. The record is from RNAcentral.